Molecule: ribosomal RNA, 439 nt
Filed under: uncultured Campylobacterota bacterium
Lineage: Bacteria; Pseudomonadati; Campylobacterota
Description: bacterial SSU rRNA
Rfam family: Bacterial small subunit ribosomal RNA
Source: RNAcentral
AGAGUUUGAUCAUGGCUCAGAGUGAACGCUGGCGGCGUGCUUAACACAUGCAAGUCGAACGAGAACGGUACUAGCUUGCUAGUAUGUCAGCUAAGUGGCGGACGGGUGAGUAAUGUGUAGUUAAUCUGCCCUUUAGAGAGGAAUAACAGUUAGAAAUGACUGCUAAUACCUCAUACUCCUUUUGCCUUAAUGGUAAUUGGGAAACGUUUUUUCGCUAAAGGAUGAGACUAUAUGGUAUCAGGUAGUUGGUGGGGUAAGAGCCUACCAAGCCAAUGACGCCUAGCUGGUCUGAGAGGAUGAUCAGCCACACUGGAACUGAGACACGGUCCAGACUCCUACGGGAGGCAGCAGUGGGGAAUAUUGCACAAUGGGGGAAACCCUGAUGCAGCAACGCCGCGUGGAGGAUGACACAUUUCGGUGCGUAAACUCCUUUAUAUGG